Molecule: transfer RNA, 73 nt
Filed under: Camelus bactrianus (Bactrian camel)
Lineage: Eukaryota; Metazoa; Chordata; Mammalia; Artiodactyla; Camelidae
Also listed under: 2 other names
Rfam family: tRNA
About the family: Transfer RNA (tRNA) molecules are approximately 80 nucleotides in length. Their secondary structure includes four short double-helical elements and three loops (D, anti-codon, and T loops).
Source: Rfam by way of RNAcentral
GAGGGUAUAGCUCAAGGGGUAGAGCGCGUGCUUAGCAUGUGUGAGGUCCUGGGUUCAAUCCCCAGUACCUCUU